Molecule: ribosomal RNA, 561 nt
Filed under: Chaetomium globosum
Lineage: Eukaryota; Fungi; Ascomycota; Sordariomycetes; Sordariales; Chaetomiaceae
Description: eukaryotic LSU rRNA
Rfam family: Eukaryotic large subunit ribosomal RNA
Source: RNAcentral
GCAUAUCAAUAAGCGGAGGAAAAGAAACCAACAGGGAUUGCCCUAGUAACGGCGAGUGAAGCGGCAACAGCUCAAAUUUGAAAUCUGGCUUCGGCCCGAGUUGUAAUUUGCAGAGGAAGCUUUAGGCGCGGCACCUUCUGAGUCCCCUGGAACGGGGCGCCAUAGAGGGUGAGAGCCCCGUAUAGUUGGAUGCCUAGCCUGUGUAAAGCUCCUUCGACGAGUCGAGUAGUUUGGGAAUGCUGCUCAAAAUGGGAGGUAAAUUUCUUCUAAAGCUAAAUACCGGCCAGAGACCGAUAGCGCACAAGUAGAGUGAUCGAAAGAUGAAAAGCACUUUGAAAAGAGGGUUAAAUAGCACGUGAAAUUGUUGAAAGGGAAGCGCUUGUGACCAGACUUGCGCCGGGCGGAUCAUCCGGUGUUCUCACCGGUGCACUCCGCCCGGCUCAGGCCAGCAUCGGUUCUCGCGGGGGGAUAAAGGUCCUGGGAACGUAGCUCCUCCGGGAGUGUUAUAGCCCGGGGCGUAAUGCCCUCGCGGGGACCGAGGUUCGCGCAUCUGCAAGGAUG